RNAcentral lists this long non-coding RNA (625 nucleotides) under Triticum aestivum (bread wheat). RNAcentral describes it as "long non-coding RNA (TAES_LNC028440)". The record is from RNAcentral. Lineage: Eukaryota; Viridiplantae; Streptophyta; Magnoliopsida; Poales; Poaceae.
UGGGCUGUCCGGCAGCAGGGCAUUGCUGCCGCCAUUCCUCGCGCCCAGUACCCCAUCUUUCCACUACGCCCCAUCAGCAGCCGCGCCGCCCCUAAUCGUCGGCCUCGGCAGAGGAGGGGAACCGCGUUGCCGACUUCGGCUUGAUCCCCUCAAUCCUCGUCGGUGGAGGUAAUUAACCAACUCCCUUAUCAAUUACUCGCUCGGCCAGCAAUUCAAUGAUGAAACACUCACACAUGGGUUCUUCAGUAGGGACAAGCAUGGCAGGGCAAGGAUAAGGUUUGGGAUGAACCACACCAACGUCAGGCAGGUCAAUGUAACCUCUGUAUUGCAAUUUACGCGAUGAUUUGGUGCAGCGGAAUGGCAUUAUAUGGUGAGCCGAAAACCAAAUGGGAUUAAACAUGGCAUAGCUGAUGUAGAUGUAGUGAUGUGUAUAUGUCUUGCUGAUGUAGUGAUGUAGUGAUGUGUGUAUGUCUUGGUACAGUAGGACAUUUUCAUGGCUUGGGUUCAUCAGUUGGCGGGUGGUGCAGAGGAAAAACCAAUUGUUAGGAGGCAUCAUUAUAGUUCACAUGUUUCCUUACCGAUCCCAGUUCUUGCCCUGUGAUUAUUUUGUCAUGAAGCUUAUCUU